RNAcentral lists this ribosomal RNA (432 nucleotides) under uncultured bacterium. RNAcentral's name for it is "partial 16S ribosomal RNA". It matches the Rfam family "Bacterial small subunit ribosomal RNA", at positions 29 to 506 of the family's 1533-position model. The record is from RNAcentral.
AGCGAACGCUGGCGGCAGGCCUAACACAUGCAAGUCGAACGAACUCUUCGGAGUUAGUGGCGGACGGGUGAGUAACACGUGGGAACGUGCCUUUAGGUUCGGAAUAACUCAGGGAAACUUGUGCUAAUACCGAAUGUGCCCUUCGGGGGAAAGAUUUAUCGCCUUUAGAGCGGCCCGCGUCUGAUUAGCUCGUUGGUGAGGUAAAGGCUCACAAAGGCGACGAUCAGUAGCUGGUCUGAGAGGAUGAUCAGCCACAUUGGGACUGAGACCCGGCCCAAACUCCUACGGGAGGAAGCAGGGGGGAAUCUGGCGCAAUGGGCGAAAGCCUGACGCAGCCAGGCCGCGUGAAUGAGGAAGGUCUUAGGAUUGUAAAAUUCUUUCACCGGGGACGAUAAUGACGGUACCCGGAGAAGAAGCCCCGGCUAACUGCGG